CUGGCGGCAGGCCAACACAUGCAAGUCGAACGGUAACAUUUCUAGCUUGCUAGAAGAUGACGAGUGGCGGACGGGUGAGUAAUGCUUGGGAACUUGCCUUUGCGAGGGGGAUAACAGUUGGAAACGACUGCUAAUACCGCAUAAUGUCUUCGGACCAAACGGGGCUUCGGCUCCGGCGCAAAGAGAGGCCCAAGUGAGAUUAGCUAGUUGGUAAGGUAAUGGCUUACCAAGGCGACGAUCUCUAGCUGUUCUGAGAGGAAGAUCAGCCACACUGGGACUGAGACACGGCCCAGACUCCUACGGGAGGCAGCAGUGGGGAAUAUUGCACAAUGGGGGAAACCCUGAUGCAGCCAUGCCGCGUGUGUGAAGAAGGCUUCCGGGUUGUAAAGCACUUUCAGUUGAGAGGAAAAGUUAGUAGUUAAUACCUGCUAGCCGUGACGUUAACAACAGAAGAAGCACCGGCUAACUCCGUGCCAGCAGCCGCGGUAAUACGGAGGGUGCGAGUGUUAAUCGGAAUUACUGGGCGUAAAGCGCACG
Molecule: ribosomal RNA, 537 nt
Filed under: uncultured bacterium
Lineage: Bacteria
Description: bacterial SSU rRNA
Rfam family: Bacterial small subunit ribosomal RNA
Source: RNAcentral